This 253-nucleotide ribosomal RNA is filed under the name uncultured bacterium. RNAcentral describes it as "partial 16S ribosomal RNA". It matches the Rfam family "Bacterial small subunit ribosomal RNA", at positions 524 to 776 of the family's 1533-position model. The record is from RNAcentral.
UACAGAGGGGGCAAGCGUUGUUCGGAAUUACUGGGCGUAAAGGGCGCGUAGGCGGCCUGUUAAGUCGAAUGUGAAAUCCCCGGGCUCAACCCGGGAACUGCGUCCGAUACUGGCAGGCUUGAAUCCGGGAGAGGGAUGCGGAAUUCCAGGUGUAGCGGUGAAAUGCGUAGAUAUCUGGAGGAACACCGGUGGCGAAGGCGGCAUCCUGGACCGGAAUUGACGCUGAGACGCGAAAGCCAGGGGAGCAAACGGG